This 1184-nucleotide long non-coding RNA is filed under the name Phasianus colchicus (ring-necked pheasant). Its description in RNAcentral is "lncRNA (ENSPCLG00000002189.1)". The record is from RNAcentral. Lineage: Eukaryota; Metazoa; Chordata; Aves; Galliformes; Phasianidae.
AUUUAAAGCAUAGUGCUACACUACCUGUUAUCCUUUAGAAAAUGUGUUUUCUCAUUAGAUAAGUUGUAUGGGAAUUGUUGAAUCACGGCCUGAACCUCUAAUUGAUCACCUGAGACAAGCACUGAGUCAGCCAUGGGAGCACAGGUGAAGGCAAUUCAGCCGAGUGACCAGAAGGGAUGGAGCCUGGCUGCACCUCUCCUAGACCCCAUUUAAGGGCUGACUGCGACGGAGGAAGGAUCUCUCUCUGGAGAUUGCUGCUCUUGGUGUCUUUUUCUAUCAGCUAAGGACAUGAGUAAGCUUUUCCGUUCUUUUCUGUUUAUCUCUCUUUAAAGUAAUAAUUGUUCCAGCUCUAUGCUCUCUAAAGACCAGCUUAACUUCUCUGUAUACUUGUCAAUUAUCUGUCUGUAUAUUUGUUGAUGAUACGUAGGUCUAUGUUACUUUAAGUCCAAAAGCGGUGAGAAACAGAAAGAUUCAGUGUAUAGGAGCACUAAACAUUGAAAGGUUUUGUGUCUGAGAGCCUAGCAUCACAGUACAAAUUCCCAAACUUUCUUUUCAAAUCCAGAACAAACAGAUGCUACUUCAGGAGCCAGACUGACUGCUGUGGGCUGGAUCUUUCUUCAUGCUGUACUGCUACUGUAGGCAGGUUAAAUCGGGGGAGAAAUUCUUGACAAACAUAGACAACAGUGAAUACUCAAAACCUCACUCAGUCCUGCUUUCUCAUCAGCCACAAACAUAGUCCUACUCUGGUCCCUAUAAAGGUGCUAAAACUUAAUCUACUACUUUAAAUUGCACUCCACUGGGGCUAAAUAGCAGUCACUUGCAUGGACAGUCCUUACAUGUAUUAGCCCCAGCAUCAUUUUAACACAGCUUUAGGAGUGGAUUAAUGUAUUGUUUUUACUUAUGGUAAGUAUUGCUGCAGUGUAGUUAAUUUGUACUGUAGUCUUAUAGCAGCAGUGCCACAGAUUUUUUUUUCUGGUUCUCUGUGCUCUAUGCCUUGAGGUAAACACGUGAAGGGAAGCAAGGCUGGUCAUUUAAGGGUUUCUGCCAGGGAAAAAAGGCUGUCUGGUGCUGGCCUGGUGCCUGAGUUUCGAGGGUAAGAUAGUGUCUUAGCUAGACCAGGCUCUGUAAAAUGAUUUUAAGUCUGCUAAUGUUUGUGUUAGACCUGCGAGUUAUCUGCAUAGACC